This 217-nucleotide ribosomal RNA is filed under the name Glomeromycotina sp. Its description in RNAcentral is "partial small subunit ribosomal RNA". The stretch from base 32 to 217 matches the Rfam family "Eukaryotic small subunit ribosomal RNA", at positions 677 to 864 of the family's 1831-position model. Lineage: Eukaryota; Fungi; Glomeromycota. The record is from RNAcentral.
GGGUCAGUAGGUUGGUCGUGCCACCGGUACGUACUGGUCUCACUGAUUCCUCCUUCCUGAAGAACCGUAAUGCCAUUAAUUUGGUGUUGCGGGGGAAACAGGACUGUUACUUUGAAAAAAUUAGAGUGUUUAAAGCAAGCUAACGCUUGAAUACAUUAGCAUGGAAUAAUGAAAUAGGACGACCGAUCCUAUUUUGUUGGUUUCUAGGAUUGACGUA